GCCUCUGUAGCUCAGUUGGUUAGAGCGCUGCACCGGAAUUGCAGGGUUGUUGGUUCAAUUCCUACCAGAGGAC
This 73-nucleotide transfer RNA is filed under the name Paramuricea clavata. It matches the Rfam family "tRNA". Rfam says of the family: Transfer RNA (tRNA) molecules are approximately 80 nucleotides in length. The record is from Rfam by way of RNAcentral. Lineage: Eukaryota; Metazoa; Cnidaria; Anthozoa; Malacalcyonacea; Plexauridae.